GUACUAGCUAAGGCAGCACAUAUACUAAAAUUGGAAUGAUACAGAGAAGAUUAGCAUGGCCCCUGCUCAAAGAUGACACGAAAUUUGUGAAGUGUUCCAUACUUUU
This is a small nuclear RNA of Dipodomys ordii (Ord's kangaroo rat), 106 nucleotides long. The record is from Ensembl. Lineage: Eukaryota; Metazoa; Chordata; Mammalia; Rodentia; Heteromyidae.